GACGAACGCUGGCGGCGUGCCUAAUACAUGCAAGUCGAACGCUUCUUUCCUCCCGAGUGCUUGCACUCAAUUGGAAAGAGGAGUGGCGGACGGGUGAGUAACACGUGGGUAACCUACCCAUCAGAGGGGGAUAACACUUGGAAACAGGUGCUAAUACCGCAUAACAGUUUAUGCCGCAUGGCAUAAGAGUGAAAGGCGCUUUCGGGUGUCGUUGAUGGAUGGACCCGCGGUGCAUUAGCUAGUUGGUGAGGUAACGGCUCACCAAGGCCACGAUGCAUAGCCGACCUGAGAGGGUGAUCGGCCACACUGGGACUGAGACACGGCCCAGACUCCUACGGGAGGCAGCAGUAGGGAAUCUUCGGCAAUGGACGAAAGUCUGACCGAGCAACGCCGCGUGAGUGAAGAAGGGUUUCGGAUCGUAAAACUCUGUUGUUAGAGAAGAACAAGGACGUUAGUAACUGAACGUCCCCUGACGGUAUCUAACCAGAAAGCCACGGCUAACUACGU
Molecule: ribosomal RNA, 507 nt
Filed under: uncultured bacterium
Lineage: Bacteria
Description: partial 16S ribosomal RNA
Rfam family: Bacterial small subunit ribosomal RNA
Source: RNAcentral